RNAcentral lists this long non-coding RNA (428 nucleotides) under Physcomitrium patens. Its description in RNAcentral is "long non-coding RNA (PPAT_LNC013950)". Lineage: Eukaryota; Viridiplantae; Streptophyta; Bryopsida; Funariales; Funariaceae. The record is from RNAcentral.
UAUAUAUAUAUAUAUUUUAGCAUUAUUUUAUAAUUAAAAUUUUAAAAAUCUACACAUAAAACUUAAAUUAGUAGGUGUUUAAAGUUUUUUAUAAGUAUUAAAUUGAAAAUUUUGAGUAAAGUUAGUAUUCUUAUAAAUUUAUUAAUAAAUCGACUAAUAAAUCAUUACAAUGAUAACACAAAUGUGGUGAUUUAAUUGCUAUCUCAAACAAUAAAUAUAAUUCCUACUUUGAGUCUUUUUAAUCUUUUAAUAUUCAAUGUAUUUUAGUCUGUUUUUGAACAAAGUCUUCCAUUGUUAAAAUCACAAUUUAAUGAUUUUUUUCAAAACAUUCCUUAUAACACUAUCAUUUACUUACAAAAAUUGUAUAAAUUUAGUUUAAUAUUUUUCACUAAAUUUCCAAUAAGCUACUUCAUCUAUUAGUGAUCAAA